GCGCGACUAGCUCAGAUGGUUAGAGCAUCACGUUGACAUCGUGGGGGUCACUAGUUCGAUUCUAGUGCCGCGCA
RNAcentral lists this transfer RNA (74 nucleotides) under Treponema sp. Its description in RNAcentral is "tRNA-Val". It matches the Rfam family "tRNA". From Rfam's summary of the family: Transfer RNA (tRNA) molecules are approximately 80 nucleotides in length. Their secondary structure includes four short double-helical elements and three loops (D, anti-codon, and T loops). Further hydrogen bonds mediate the characteristic L-shaped molecular structure. tRNAs have two regions of fundamental functional importance: the anti-codon, which is responsible for specific mRNA codon recognition, and the 3' end, to which the tRNAs corresponding amino acid is attached (by aminoacyl-tRNA synthetases). tRNAs cope with the degeneracy of the genetic code in two manners: having more than one tRNA (with a specific anti-codon) for a particular amino acid; and 'wobble' base-pairing, i.e. permitting non-standard base-pairing at the 3rd anti-codon position. The record is from RNAcentral. Lineage: Bacteria; Pseudomonadati; Spirochaetota; Spirochaetia; Treponematales; Treponemataceae. RNAcentral also lists the same sequence under 1 other name.